This 406-nucleotide ribosomal RNA is filed under the name uncultured bacterium. RNAcentral describes it as "partial 16S ribosomal RNA". It matches the Rfam family "Bacterial small subunit ribosomal RNA", at positions 30 to 526 of the family's 1533-position model. The record is from RNAcentral.
AUUGAACGCUGGCGGCAGGCCUAACACAUGCAAGUCGAGCGAGUGGCGGACGGGUGAGUAAUGUCUGGGGAACUGCCCGAUGGAGGGGGAUAACUACUGGAAACGGUGGCUAAUACCGCAUACUCUCGGAUGUUCCCAUAUGGGAUUAGCUAGUAGGUGGGGUAACGGCUCACCUAGGCGACGAUCCCUAGCUGGUCUGAGAGGAUGAGCAGCCACACUGGGACUGAGACACGGCCCAGACUCCUACGGGAGGCAGCAGUGGGGAAUAUUGCACAAUGGGCGCAAGCCUGAUGCAGCCAUGCCGCGUGUAUGAAGAAGGCCUUAGGGUUGUAAAGUACUUGCAGCGGGGAGGCGUUACCCGCAGAAGAAGCACCGGCUAACUCCGUGCCAGCAGCCGCGGUAAUUC